Molecule: ribosomal RNA, 911 nt
Filed under: Allantophomopsis lycopodina
Lineage: Eukaryota; Fungi; Ascomycota; Leotiomycetes; Phacidiales; Phacidiaceae
Description: LSU rRNA
Rfam family: Eukaryotic large subunit ribosomal RNA
Source: RNAcentral
GCAUAUCAAUAAGCGGAGGAAAAGAAACCAACAGGGAUUGCCUCAGUAACGGCGAGUGAAGCGGCAACAGCUCAAAUUUGAAAUCUGGCUCUUUCAGGGUCCGAGUUGUAAUUUGUAGAGGAUGUUUCGGGUGUGGCUCCGGUCUAAGUUCCUUGGAACAGGACGUCAUAGAGGGUGAGAAUCCCGUAUGUGACUGGUAGCCUAUGCCCAUGUGAAACUCCUUCGACGAGUCGAGUUGUUUGGGAAUGCAGCUCAAAAUGGGUGGUAAAUUUCAUCUAAAGCUAAAUAUUGGCCAGAGACCGAUAGCGCACAAGUAGAGUGAUCGAAAGAUGAAAAGCACUUUGGAAAGAGAGUUAAACAGUACGUGAAAUUGUUGAAAGGGAAGCGCUUGCAACCAGACUUGCAUGUAGCUGAUCAACCGGUGUUCUCACCGGUGCACUCAGUUGCGUUCAGGCCAGCAUCGGUUUCGACGGUUGGAUAAAGGCCUUGGGAAUGUAGCUUCUUUCGGGGAGUGUUAUAGCCCAGGGUGCAAUGCAGCCUGUUGGGACCGAGGACCGCGCUUCGGCUAGGAUGCUGGCGUAAUGGUUGUAAGCGACCCGUCUUGAAACACGGACCAAGGAGUCUAACAUCUAUGCGAGUGUUUGGGUGUCAAACCCAUACGCGUAAUGAAAGUGAACGGAGGUGAGAACCCUUAAGGGUGCAUCAUCGACCGAUCCUGAUGUCUUCGGAUGGAUUUGAGUAAGAGCAUAGCUGUUGGGACCCGAAAGAUGGUGAACUAUGCCUGAAUAGGGUGAAGCCAGAGGAAACUCUGGUGGAGGCUCGCAGCGGUUCUGACGUGCAAAUCGAUCGUCAAAUUUGGGUAUAGGGGCGAAAGACUAAUCGAACCAUCUAGUAGCUGGGUUCCUGCCGAG